RNAcentral lists this long non-coding RNA (419 nucleotides) under Sorghum bicolor (sorghum). RNAcentral's name for it is "long non-coding RNA (SBIC_LNC001703)". The record is from RNAcentral. Lineage: Eukaryota; Viridiplantae; Streptophyta; Magnoliopsida; Poales; Poaceae.
AUGUGCCAGCUGAAGUGGUGGAUAAGAUCUGAAACUUCAUUAUCUGAUGGGUGAUGGCACAUUCCUUUGAACUGUACAGCUGACUUAAGCUUCCUCACCAACAUAAAGGAGAAAUACUGUUCUUUUUUGCUGCCUUGCCACCAUAGAGUACCUCCAUGUCAAAUUUUUACCCUGGUGCUAGGAUCCCAAGAUAUAGAGUAGCUUUUAAGUUAUAUGUUGCAUUUCAUGACAUGAUUUGAAGCCAAUGUUCAUAGUUCUGAUAAAGCUAGUUCUACCCCUCAAGCAAGAUGAGGAUAUUUUGGAAUAGAACCUGACCAUGCCUGUGUUGCAAAUUCCAGAUAUAAAUGUAUGCAGCAUGGUGAAGGGAAUUAUUUGUUGACAAAGAUGGGGGUGCUUAUUUCCUGGGGAAUGGGCGGUUA